GGGGGGGGGGGGGGGGGGGCGUGACGGGUGCGGGGCGAGCGGAGGGGCGCGGCGUGGGUGGGGUGCGCGAGUGGCGAACGGGUGAGUAACACGGGAGUAACCGGCCCUUGACUUUGGGAUAGCUUCAGGAAACUGGGGCUAAUACCGGAUAGGAGCUCCUGCGGCAUGGUGGGGGUUGGAAAGUUUCGGCGGUUGGGGAUGGACUCGCGGCUUAUCAGCUUGUUGGUGGGGUAGUGGCUUACCAAGGCUUUGACGGGUAGCCGGCCUGAGAGGGUGACCGGCCACAUUGGGACUGAGAUACGGCCCAGACUCCUACGGGAGGCAGCAGUGGGGAAUAUUGCACAAUGGGCGGAAGCCUGAUGCAGCAACGCCGCGUGCGGGAUGACGGCCUUCGGGUUGUAAACCGCUUUCGCCUGUGACGAAGCGUGAGUGACGGUAAUGGGUAAAGAAGCACCGGCUAACUACGUG
This 468-nucleotide ribosomal RNA is filed under the name uncultured bacterium. RNAcentral's name for it is "partial 16S ribosomal RNA". The stretch from base 49 to 468 matches the Rfam family "Bacterial small subunit ribosomal RNA", at positions 39 to 507 of the family's 1533-position model. The record is from RNAcentral.